UGAACAAACGCUGGCGGCGUGUCUUAAGCAUGCAAGUUGAGCGGCAAGGAGGAGAGAUCCUCCCUAGAGCAGCGGACUGGUGAGUAACGCGUGGGUAAUCUAUCUUAGGCAUGGGGGAUAGUCACUAGAAAUAGUGGGUAAUACCGAAUAAGUUCCAUAAGGGGAGGACUUAUGGAAGAAAGGUGCUACGGCACUGGCCUUAGGUGAGCUCGCGUCCCAUUAGCUAGUUGGUGAGGUAAAGGCCCACCAAGGCGAUGAUGGGUAGCCGGCCUGAGAGGGUGUACGGCCACACUGGGACUGAGAUACGGCCCAGACUCCUACGGGAGGCAGCAGCUAAGAAUAUUCCGCAAUGGACGGAAGUCUGACGGAGCGACGCCGCGUGGAUGAAGAAGGCCGAAAGGUUGUAAAGUUCUUUUGCUAGGGGAGAAUAAGUGUGGGAGGGAAUGCCUGCACGAUGACAAGGACUAGCGAAUAAGUCCCGGCCAACUACGUG
RNAcentral lists this ribosomal RNA (493 nucleotides) under uncultured bacterium. RNAcentral's name for it is "bacterial SSU rRNA". It matches the Rfam family "Bacterial small subunit ribosomal RNA", at positions 27 to 507 of the family's 1533-position model. The record is from RNAcentral.